RNAcentral lists this ribosomal RNA (632 nucleotides) under Latilactobacillus curvatus. RNAcentral's name for it is "bacterial SSU rRNA". It matches the Rfam family "Bacterial small subunit ribosomal RNA", at positions 65 to 673 of the family's 1533-position model. Lineage: Bacteria; Bacillati; Bacillota; Bacilli; Lactobacillales; Lactobacillaceae. The record is from RNAcentral.
GAUUGAAGAAGCUUGCUUCUGAUUGAUAACAUUUGAGUGAGUGGCGGACGGGUGAGUAACACGUGGGUAACCUGCCCUAAAGUGGGGGAUAACAUUUGGAAACAGAUGCUAAUACCGCAUAAAACCUAGCACCGCAUGGUGCAAGGUUGAAAGAUGGUUUCGGCUAUCACUUUAGGAUGGACCCGCGGUGCAUUAGUUAGUUGGUGAGGUAAAGGCUCACCAAGACCGUGAUGCAUAGCCGACCUGAGAGGGUAAUCGGCCACACUGGGACUGAGACACGGCCCAGACUCCUACGGGAGGCAGCAGUAGGGAAUCUUCCACAAUGGACGAAAGUCUGAUGGAGCAACGCCGCGUGAGUGAAGAAGGUUUUCGGAUCGUAAAACUCUGUUGUUGGAGAAGAACGUAUUUGAUAGUAACUGAUCAGGUAGUGACGGUAUCCAACCAGAAAGCCACGGCUAACUACGUGCCAGCAGCCGCGGUAAUACGUAGGUGGCAAGCGUUGUCCGGAUUUAUUGGGCGUAAAGCGAGCGCAGGCGGUUUCUUAAGUCUGAUGUGAAAGCCUUCGGCUCAACCGAAGAAGUGCAUCGGAAACUGGGAAACUUGAGUGCAGAAGAGGACAGUGGAACUCCAUG